Aethalodelphis obliquidens (Pacific white-sided dolphin) is the source of this 5166-nucleotide long non-coding RNA. RefSeq lists it as uncharacterized. The transcript is spliced from 11 exons. Lineage: Eukaryota; Metazoa; Chordata; Mammalia; Artiodactyla; Delphinidae. The record is from RefSeq and is a predicted model, not a curated record.
ACACGCAGCCCGCGGCCGCCGCUCCCGCCGCCGCCCGCCCGGCCGAGCCGCGGGGCCCGAGCGCCGGCGCCGGCGGGGCUGGGGCGCGCGGAAGCCACUCUACACAGGCAGCGCCGGGCACAAGUUAGUUCCUCGGCUCCGGGGCCUCGGCGCCGCGGGGACGAAACGCCGAGGGCGCCGAGGAGGAGGGGAGGGGGGCGCCGAGGGGCACAAGAGUGGGGAAAAGUGCGGAAAGAAGCAACAGCCGCUCCCCCGGAGCCCAGAAAAGUGGACGCCGCGUCCCGGCCGCCCGCCUGCGCCGGGGAUGCGGCGGCGGCGGCGGCUAACGGUCCAGCGAGGCGGCAGGGGCGGCGGGAGCCGCUAGGCGGAGAGACCAGUUUUGUCAGUUGGAGCCCCUCGCCUCUGUGCCUGGAAGGAGUUGCAGGUGUGUGUGAGGAGAGAGUGGUCACCCACAGGGCUCCGGCGCAGCUCGGGGGUCCCUCAGUCUGUCCCCCAGCGGACACCCCGCUUCCCCGUCACCUUCCCCGUCACCUCUUUCUUACCUACGCGAGUUACAUUUGACAUCGCUUCUUCCAUCUUCGUUCACUGAGAAUUCCACACACGUGGUGAUACCGGCGUCCCUACAUCUACGUCACUACGCCUGUGUUACAGGCAUCACGGCGGAAUGAGGAUGCAGGGACCGCCACCUGGCUUCCUCUGAACCACUGCCACGUGCGUCGUCCCCAUGUCGCUCCAGACUCUGGGGACGCCGAGCUCCGGGACCCGUCAGCCUCCAAGGUGGGACUCGAUUCAGCCACGGGGCAACAGCUAAGUCAUUUUGCUGAAUACCUGAAACUAACGGCACAUUGUAAAUCAACGCUAUUUCAAUAAAAGCAAGUUAAAGUAAGUGAUGGGGACAGAGUUAGGAGGUGAGAAAAAUUGUCUGAUGCCAAAAAGCACCUGAGCUGAACUGGAAAGAAGGUGUUUCUGAGGAACUUGGUCAGAAAACGUGGCAGGCAGUCUUCGGGCUUGGGUUGUGUGUCUGCAGCUGUGACACGUGGUCAUGACCGCCUGCACCGUUAUUUGGAGACUCAGGCGAGACUAAAAAUGUCUAAUAAGGUGUGCUUCAUGUUGAUAAGACUCUGGAAGCAAGAAGAGAGUUCUAUUGUUUAGUCUGGCAGAAAUUACGAAAGCAGCCACAGCCGAAAACCACGCGCCUGAUGCUUUGAGCUACGCACACGGAACGCUCUUAAGUCCAUAGCGUUUGGUAACGGGGCGAUUACUUGCGGUAUGUGAAUGGAAUGAUUUCCUCUUGGCCAGAGAAUACACGAGGAAGGGAGAUUACCCGCCUUAUGGAGUAUUUGCUGUGUCCCCCUCUGUGGAUGGGCCCACCGCUAUCCCUUCACUUCCUCCAUCGAAUACAAACCCUGUCACACACCUUGCCAACCACUCCUCACCUGUGGCAUCGUUCCUCGGAGGCGCGCAGAGGAUGGCCCAGGCGGAGGUGGGACCACAGGAGAGGCAGGAACCCCCAACCCACUCUCUCCGCAUCCCAGUUCCGGGAUCCAGGCCAGGCAGCACAGGGGCUCUGCCUGUGGCCCUCUCCCCUCUCAGAGGGAGGACAGGUGCGGAGUUGAGAAACCGAGGGCUACGGGCGCUCCCCUUAGCUUCUGCCCUGGCGCAGGGCAGGCACCGGGGUGCCCUCUUCCACUUGGGGUACCUGCCAGGGAUUCCCAGUCCCCCCCAGGACUGCAGACUUCUCCUUCUUCAAGCCUCGCACGGUCUCUGCUUUCCCCCAACAGAAGACCUCGGCACCGUGACCUCAGGGCCACGCAGAAGAUGCCUGCCCUUCCAGAUCCUUCAGUGGGGGGCACAGGCUUUCAUUCCUGCAGCAGAGCUUCCCCGCCUCUGUGCCAGUUGUCAGUGUAUCGACAGACGGGUGCCCUCAGGUGUCGGGCACCUCGGCAGGGCCUGGAGCCUCCCUCCUCUUCACUCUCCACAGUCCCUGAGAUGUACAGGUAUUACCAUUCCCUGUGACAGCCGUGACGUGCAGACAGUCUGAAUGCAGCAGAGCGUCCUAGCGAGGAGAUUCUGGUGAGGAUGGGCCCAGUUCCGCCAGAGGCAUCUCCGCCCCUCAGCUUUUUAGCCAGAGCAUCACUACACGCCGGAGGGGCGGCCGGGUGCAGGGCUGGGGGCUCUGCCCCAUGCCCGGGUCGCCGGGCGGACCUGAGCCCUGUGGUCCCCACUGAGCUUUUGAAGUGGAAGGUCCCCCAUUCUUCUAACCACUCCAGAAUAUCCUCCCUGUGGCCGCUUCUCUUCUUCUCCAGUUUCACCCAAGGGUAGAGUUGCCCUCAGCCCAUCAUGCCCUCGCCCUUCUCUGGCCCUGUGCUGGGAACUCAGAAGCAGGUGUGGGAGCCCGUGGCUGUGCCCUUAGCCCUGGUCGCAGGGGACACGGCCUCUCGUUAGCACGCCGCAGGAAGACUCCAGAACUGACACCCACACUCGGCUUUGGGGGGUUUACAAAACACAUCCUGCCCCCCAAAAUUGCAGGGAUAUUUUAAAAUUCAAAUGGGUUAUAUUUUCUAUGCAAGAGCUACGUCGCUUUCCCCAAAGGUGUUUUCAGGCAUUUGAAAAACGUUAGCUGGUGAGUCAGAAGUCUCCUUUUACUCUUUCUGUUUUCUCUGGCUCUGAAAAUAUAUACGUAUGUAUACACAAGCACACGUCACGCUUGGAGGCGUAUCUUCUAGGCUGUAAGAGUGUGGCGGUUGGAAUCCUGGUGCCCGGAAGAGAUGGGUCUGUGCUCUGCAUCCCAGCACAGCGUUUAGCGCAUUGUGACGUACGGAGCGUCUGUUCCGUACGUGCACCCUCGUCUUCCCCUGUGCUCGCUGACCUGACCCGCGAGGCCGCUGGGCUGACUUCCCGCGCUCGCGUCACGUGCUUGGAGAGUUCCCAAGGCCGGCAAGUCAAAUGUUGCGGCCAGGUCAUCGCCUAUUUCCAGCAAAAUGAGUUCAUAUCCAUUUAGGCCCGUUUUACUGCUCUUUGUUAUAACUAUUGCCAAGGAGAAACGAGCAGGUUUGGGUACCACAAGGCAAAAUAAUAUUUGAAAUUUUAACAUAUGCUUGUUUCUUAAUAUUGUAAGCACCCUAUUGUGACUUGGGGACUUUUUGUGUUAGUCUUCGAUCCUUCUCCCACAGAGUCCGGGAGGACUGGGUGCCCUGGCCUUGGCCGCCGGAUGCGCGGUCUCACUCCCUGUGCACAGAGGCGGUAUCCUUUGCACCCGGCGGGGCUGAGUGGAGGCUCCAAGCUCGUGUGGCCUGAGACAUUCCAUCGCAGAGGCUCUCCUAGCAACAUGGCAACGCCAGCAAACCCAACAAUGACCUUUUGUCGUUAGCUCUAUAAAGCCUGUGGCAUGAGUCUCACCAGAAAAUUCAAAGGAUAUUUUGCAAGCGAAGAGCGAUUUCCAGCUGAAGCUUUGAAUCGGUUGCUUUUCCUCCAAUCUGCAAAUAUCAAACUGGACCGGCACCAGAUGGUCGCUUCAAGAGCAGGACGGACCCAAAGAGGAUACCAUGUCACCAAAAGAGUCAGCAGCCAGUGCCACGUAAUAAUUUUGUGAAGAUUUGUUUAGUUAAAACUAGAUGAUAUUAUUUGGCAUUCCAGUUCAUCAAGAAGAGCUCACUGCAAGUGUUACAAGAUGCUGAAAGCAGGGGUGGCUUUGUCCCUUUCUUUCCUGCUGUGGAAUCAGGACUCUGUUUUCCACUGGACCGGAAAUAAGGAAAGAAAUGAAAGCGGAUCCACAAGCCAGGUCUGGUUUUAAUCAGAGCCUAAUCUUUAUGAGACAACGCAAGGCUGAGAAUUUUUUAAUCUGAUAUUUUGAAAGAAAAAUCCAUGUUCCAAAAUGAUACAAACCAAUCGGCCUUAGAAGAACGAUGGAGAAAAGAAAUCUCUUGCAUAAAAGAGAAGCAGGAAAUUCCAGAGAAGUUUCACAGGGAGGAGGGGAAAACCCAAGGUGUAAAGGUAAUUCAGAAGAAAGUACAAAGUUUUCAACUAACGCAGAUGAAACAGUUGGAUAUUCUUAUGCAAAAAAUAAUUCCAGUCCAAUCCUGGCACUUAUACGAAAAGUGAAUGGAUGAACAAAUUGUGGCACAUCCUCACAAUGGAACAGUACUUAGCAAUGAAAAAGGAACGAACUGUGGACACAUGGAAGGACGUGGAUAAAGCUCAAAGUAAUCAUGCUGGCGAGGAAGCCAGAGAAAAAUCAGCACAGACUGUGUGAUUCCAUUCAUACCAUAAACUGACCUCUGGGGACAGAAGGCAGGCUGAGUUUCUGCAUGAUUGAAACACCAUCUUCAGUUUCAAAGGAGCUCAGAUGCACUGGAGCAUCUCCAGAUACUCGGAUGGUGCAGGAGACUCAGACCCACGGCAGGAACUGGUGAAGGAUCUGCAGUUAAGACGUUCAUUUGCCCAUCGCACGGAUGCUGACAGAAGACACAACUCCUAGACCAGAGACAAAAGACGGCAGCCAGAGUGAGCGUCAGCACGUUUGUGUUGGUUCCCCGAGUCUUCAUUCCCAUGCUGGGGCCCGGAUACGUGCCUGAACACAAAGUCGGUUGCAUCACAGGAGAGGGACAGUGAACUUGAAAUCCCAUCACGUCAUAGCAAGCAGUAAGCAAGCCUGCUCUUUGCCCCAGAGGACCUUCUGUGUGCACAGGAAAAUACUGGCAGACGGGUUUUCUUGCAGAACGACUGUUCAAUUUCUAUAAAGAUAGAUUCAUCUGUUGUGAACAAGGCUGAAGAUUAUUUUCAUGCAUAAGAUAAAUCACUGGAAGAGACAGUAAAGCAUUCAAAAUGUACUUUAUGUCCUAGCAGAGAAAAAUCCAAAUCACUCUUCUCCACAGUGCAUUCAUGGUUUCCUGCAAGAUAAGAUCUCAUCCUGUUAAGGACUUCAUCUUGGAAGAAGAGAGAGCAUCAUCUCUCAAGGGAGCUCCAGUAUCAUAAUUCAUAAAAUCAAAUAUAUCAAUAAACACAGCUCUAAUUUUAAAAUAGCCAUCCAAGUCUCUGGAACCUAGUGCCUAAACACUCGAUGUUAAACUGUAGUAUUUUAUAAUAACAUAAAUCUGUAAAAGAGAACAAAUAAUUGUUUAAUUAUUUAAAAGUUUUCAUUCUCAUGAAUAAAAUUUAAAUGCUCAG